Molecule: long non-coding RNA, 557 nt
Organism: Gorilla gorilla gorilla (western lowland gorilla)
Lineage: Eukaryota; Metazoa; Chordata; Mammalia; Primates; Hominidae
Exons: 5
Source: RefSeq, a predicted model, not a curated record
CCCGCCCCUAACGGUCCCUAUGACAUCACCAUCAACCAAUCAGUCGGCGCAUCCUUUCGCCCCUUGACUGCUCCGCUUCCGGGAGGCGGGGCUUCUGCGGGUUCCACCUCCCGAGCGCCCCUUGUGGCUACCAAGGACAGGCAACAGAGACGGGGUCUCACCAUGUAGGCCAGAUUAGUCUUGAACUCCUGGGCUCAAGCAAUCCGCCCAUCUUGGCCUCCCAAAGUGCUGGGAUUAUAGGUGUGAGCCACCGCGCCCGGCAACCCAGAAGUGGUUUUGACAGCACCAGCGCUUUCUGUGUCCACAAUCUACUCCCAACUAGAGGUCCACCCAGGACCCAGAGACCUGGAUUUGAGGCUACUGGGCGGCAGAUGGAGCGAUCAGAAGACCAGAGGAGACGGGAGCUGGAGUGCAGUGGCUGUUCACAAGCAUGAAAGCAAAGCACCCCAAUGAGAAAGAAAAAGUCAUGACCAGAAGUCAGUGUCAGUGAUUGCUGAUGUGUGGAACCAUCUGAUGAAUGAGGAGUUUGGGUAAAAAAUAAAGGGAACUGAUGAAAA